This 654-nucleotide ribosomal RNA is filed under the name Salmonella enterica subsp. enterica serovar Reading. RNAcentral describes it as "partial 23S ribosomal RNA". It matches the Rfam family "Bacterial large subunit ribosomal RNA", at positions 1 to 688 of the family's 2925-position model. The record is from RNAcentral. Lineage: Bacteria; Pseudomonadati; Pseudomonadota; Gammaproteobacteria; Enterobacterales; Enterobacteriaceae.
GGGUUGUGAGGUUAAGCGACUAAGCGUACACGGUGGAUGCCCUGGCAGUCAGAGGCGAUGAAGGGCGUGCUAAUCUGCGAUAAGCGCCGGUAAGGUGAUAUGAACCGUUAUAACCGGCGAUACCCGAAUGGGGAAACCCAGUGUGUUUCGACACACUAUCAUUAACUGAAUCCAUAGGUUAAUGAGGCGAACCGGGGGAACUGAAACAUCUAAGUACCCCGAGGAAAAGAAAUCAACCGAGAUUCCCCCAGUAGCGGCGAGCGAACGGGGAGGAGCCCAGAGCCUGAAUCAGCAUGUGUGUUAGUGGAAGCGUCUGGAAAGGCGCGCGAUACAGGGUGACAGCCCCGUACACAAAAGCGCAUGUGCUGUGAGCUCGAUGAGUAGGGCGGGACACGUGGUAUCCUGUCUGAAUAUGGGGGGACCAUCCUCCAAGGCUAAAUACUCCUGACUGACCGAUAGUGAACCAGUACCGUGAGGGAAAGGCGAAAAGAACCCCGGCGAGGGGAGUGAAAAAGAACCUGAAACCGUGUACGUACAAGCAGUGGGAGCACCCUUUGGGGUGUGACUGCGUACCUUUUGUAUAAUGGGUCAGCGACUUAUAUUCUGUAGCAAGGUUAACCGUAUAGGGGAGCCGGAGGGAAACCGAGUCUUAAU